This 497-nucleotide ribosomal RNA is filed under the name uncultured bacterium. Its description in RNAcentral is "partial 16S ribosomal RNA". It matches the Rfam family "Bacterial small subunit ribosomal RNA", at positions 28 to 507 of the family's 1533-position model. The record is from RNAcentral.
GAUGAACGCUGGCGGCGUGCCUAAUACAUGCAAGUCGAGCGAACAGACGAGGAGCUUGCUCCUCUGACGUUAGCGGCGGACGGGUGAGUAACACGUGGAUAACCUACCUAUAAGACUGGGAUAACUUCGGGAAACCGGAGCUAAUACCGGAUAAUAUAUUGAACCGCAUGGUUCAAUAGUGAAAGACGGUUUUGCUGUCACUUAUAGAUGGAUCCGCGCCGCAUUAGCUAGUUGGUAAGGUAACGGCUUACCAAGGCAACGAUGCGUAGCCGACCUGAAAGGGUGAUCGCCCACACUGGAACUGAGACACGGUCCAGACUCCUACGGGAGGCAGCAGUAGGGAAUCUUCCGCAAUGGGCGAAAGCCUGACGGAGCAACGCCGCGUGAGUGAUGAAGGUCUUCGGAUCGUAAAACUCUGUUAUUAGGGAAGAACAAAUGUGUAAGUAACUAUGCACGUCUUGACGGUACCUAAUCAGAAAGCCACGGCUAACUACGUG